This 450-nucleotide ribosomal RNA is filed under the name uncultured bacterium. RNAcentral's name for it is "partial 16S ribosomal RNA". It matches the Rfam family "Bacterial small subunit ribosomal RNA", at positions 354 to 796 of the family's 1533-position model. The record is from RNAcentral.
GUGGGGAAUUUUGGACAAUGGGCGCAAGCCUGAUCCAGCCAUUCCGCGUGCAGGAUGAAGGCCUUCGGGUUGUAAACUGCUUUUGUACGGAACGAAACGGUCCUGGCUAAUAUCCGGGGCUAAUGACGGUACCGUAAGAAUAAGCACCGGCUAACUACGUGCCAGCAGCCGCGGUAAUACGUAGGGUGCGAGCGUUAAUCGGAAUUACUGGGCGUAAAGCGUGCGCAGGCGGUGCUGUAAGACAGGCGUGAAAUCCCCGGGCUCAACCUGGGAAUUGCGCUUGUGACUGCAGUGCUGGAGUGCGGCAGAGGGGGAUGGAAUUCCGCGUGUAGCAGUGAAAUGCGUAGAUAUGCGGAGGAUCACCGAUGGCGAAGGCAAUCCCCUGGGCCUGCACUGACGCUCAUGCACGAAAGCGUGGGGAGCAAACAGGAUUAGAAACCCUAGUAGUCC